GGGGGUAUAGCUCACAGGUAGAGCAUUUGACUGCAGAUCAAGAGGUCCGCGGUUCAAAUCCGGGUACCCCUG
Pongo abelii (Sumatran orangutan) is the source of this 72-nucleotide non-coding RNA. The record is from Rfam. NCBI's taxonomy places the organism in Eukaryota, Metazoa, Chordata, Mammalia, Primates, Hominidae.